UACGUAGGUGACAAGCGUUGUCCGGAUUUACUGGGCGUAAAGAGCGCGCAGGCGGUCGAUCAAGUCGAGUGUGAAACCCCCCGGCUCAACUGGGGAGGGUCAUUCGAUACUGAUCGACUCGAAGGCAGGAGAGGGUAGUGGAAUUCCCGGUGUAGUGGUGAAAUGCGCAGAUAUCAGGAAGAACACCAAUGGCGAAGGCAGCUCUCUGGGACGGUACUGACGCUGAGACGCGAAAGCGUGGGGAGCGAACAGG
Molecule: ribosomal RNA, 253 nt
Filed under: uncultured bacterium
Lineage: Bacteria
Description: partial 16S ribosomal RNA
Rfam family: Bacterial small subunit ribosomal RNA
Source: RNAcentral